RNAcentral lists this unclassified non-coding RNA (201 nucleotides) under uncultured fungus. Its description in RNAcentral is "sequence contains ITS1". Lineage: Eukaryota; Fungi. The record is from RNAcentral.
UUAACUAUUAUAUAGUACUCAGACGACACUAACAUUCAGAGUUUGGGGUCCUCUGGCAGGCACGUACCAGCCGGGGCCGGUAGCCAGGACAGAGCCUAGCGGCCUGCCAAAGCAACAAAGGUAUAAAUACACAAGGGUGGGAGGUCUACCCCGAAGGGCAUGAACUCUGUAAUGAUCCUUCCGCAGGUUCACCUACGGAAA